Molecule: ribosomal RNA, 492 nt
Filed under: uncultured bacterium
Lineage: Bacteria
Description: partial 16S ribosomal RNA
Rfam family: Bacterial small subunit ribosomal RNA
Source: RNAcentral
AGUGAACGCUGGCGGUAGGCCUAACACAUGCAAGUCGAACGGCAGCACAGUAAGAGCUUGCUCUUACGGGUGGCGAGUGGCGGACGGGUGAGGAAUACAUCGGAAUCUACUUUUUCGUGGGGGAUAACGUAGGGAAACUUACGCUAAUACCGCAUACGACCUACGGGUGAAAGCAGGGGAUCUUCGGACCUUGCGCGAUUGAAUGAGCCGAUGUCGGAUUAGCUAGUUGGCGGGGUAAAGGCCCACCAAGGCGACGAUCCGUAGCUGGUCUGAGAGGAUGAUCAGCCACACUGGAACUGAGACACGGUCCAGACUCCUACGGGAAGCAGCAGUGGGGAAUAUUGGACAAUGGGCGCAAGCCUGAUCCAGCCAUACCGCGUGGGUGAAGAAGGCCUUCGGGUUGUAAAGCCCUUUUGUUGGGAAAGAAAAGCAGAAGGUUAAUACCCCGCUGUUCUGACGGUACCCAAAGAAUAAGCACCGGAUAACUUCGUG